Molecule: ribosomal RNA, 401 nt
Filed under: uncultured bacterium
Lineage: Bacteria
Description: bacterial SSU rRNA
Rfam family: Bacterial small subunit ribosomal RNA
Source: RNAcentral
UGGGGAAUCUUGCACAAUGGGGGCAACCCUGAUGCAGCGACGCCGCGUGAGCGAUGAAGCCCUUCGGGGCGUAAAGCUCUUUCGACCGGAACGAUAAUGACGGUACCGGGAGAAGAAGCUGCGGCUAACUACGUGCCAGCAGCCGCGGUAAUACGUAGGCAGCAAGCGUUGUUCGGAGUUACUGGGCGUAAAGAGUGCGUAGGCGGUUUACUAAGUUCGGUGUGAAAUCUCCCGGCUGAACUGGGAGGGUGCGCCGAAGACUGGGAAGCUGGAGUGUGGGAAAGGCAGGCGGAAUUCCUGGUGUAGCGGUGAAAUGCGUAGAUAUCAGGAGGAACACCGGCGGUGUAGACGGCUUGCUAGACCAUAACUGACGCUGAGGCACGAAAGCGUGGGUAGCAAAC